This 459-nucleotide ribosomal RNA is filed under the name uncultured bacterium. RNAcentral describes it as "partial 16S ribosomal RNA". It matches the Rfam family "Bacterial small subunit ribosomal RNA", at positions 338 to 795 of the family's 1533-position model. The record is from RNAcentral.
CCUACGGGAGGCAGCAGUGAGGAAUAUUGGUCAAUGUGCGCGAGCCUGAACCAGCCAAGUCGCGUGAGGGAAGACGGUCCCAUGGAUUGUACACCUCUUUUGUCGGAGAGCAAAAGACGCCACGCGUGGCGUUCCGAGAGUACCCGAAGAAACAGCAUCGGCUAACCCCGUGCCAGCAGCCGCGGUAAUACGGAGGAUGCGAGCGUUAUCCGGAUUUAUUGGGUUUACAGGGUGCGCAGGCGGAAGAUCAAGUCAGCGGUAAAAUUGAGAGGCUCAACCGCUGCGAGCCGUUGAAACUGGUUGUCUUGAGUGAGUGAGAAGUAUGCGGAAUGCGUGGUGUAGCGGUGAAAUGCAUAGAUAUCACGCAGAACUCCAAUGGCGAAGGCAGCAUACCGGCGCUCAACUGACGCUCAUGCACGAAAGUGUGGGUAUCGAACAGGAUUAGAUACCCCAGUAGUC